UUUAAAGAAGAGGCCGAGCGUUGGGUUCU
Molecule: non-coding RNA, 29 nt
Filed under: Rattus norvegicus (Norway rat)
Lineage: Eukaryota; Metazoa; Chordata; Mammalia; Rodentia; Muridae
Source: RNAcentral